UGUAAAGCUGUAAACAAGGAAUGAAAAGAUAACAUAAUGAUAGUGACUCACUACCAAUCCCAAUGAGUACAUAGACUCUCCCAAAUCACCUUACAAGAUGACCAUGACCCCAUUGACUCUAACAGAAAACUAGGCUAAAUUAUUCAUUUCUCAUACUACUCCUUAUACAAGAUGAUCCCAUUGACUCUAACAGAAAACUAGGCUAAAUUAUUUAUUCAUUUCUCAUACUACUCCUUAUAUAGUAGCCGUGCACACAUCAUGCACAUGACUCACACACCUUCUGCACAUGCUUUACUUGCCAGCUACUCCUUCC
RNAcentral lists this long non-coding RNA (313 nucleotides) under Trifolium pratense (red clover). Its description in RNAcentral is "long non-coding RNA (TPRA_LNC013644)". The record is from RNAcentral. Lineage: Eukaryota; Viridiplantae; Streptophyta; Magnoliopsida; Fabales; Fabaceae.